GCUGGGUAGCUAUGUAUGGACGGGAUAAGUGCUGAAAGCAUCUAAGCAUGAAGCCCCCCUCAAGAUGAGAUUUCCCAACUUCGGUUAUAAGAUCCCUCAAAGAUGAUGAGGUUAAUAGGUUCGAGGUGGAAGCGUAGCGAUACGUGGAGCUGACGAAUACUAAUCGAUCGAAGACUUAAUCAAUUU
Molecule: ribosomal RNA, 186 nt
Filed under: Staphylococcus agnetis
Lineage: Bacteria; Bacillati; Bacillota; Bacilli; Caryophanales; Staphylococcaceae
Description: partial 23S ribosomal RNA
Rfam family: Bacterial large subunit ribosomal RNA
Source: RNAcentral